UACGAAGGGUGCAAGCGUUACUCGGAAUUACUGGGCGUAAAGCGUGCGUAGGUGGUGAGUUAAGUCUGAUGUGAAAUCCCCGGGCCCAACCUGGGAAUGGCAUUGGAUACUGGCUCGCUAGAGUGCGGUAGAGGGUGGUGGAAUUCCCGGUGUAGCAGUGAAAUGCGUAGAGAUCGGGAGGAACAUCUGUGGCGAAGGCGGCCACCUGGACCAACACUGACACUGAGGCACGAAAGCGUGGGGAGCAAACAGG
RNAcentral lists this ribosomal RNA (253 nucleotides) under uncultured bacterium. Its description in RNAcentral is "partial 16S ribosomal RNA". It matches the Rfam family "Bacterial small subunit ribosomal RNA", at positions 524 to 776 of the family's 1533-position model. The record is from RNAcentral.